This 949-nucleotide long non-coding RNA is filed under the name Homo sapiens (human). RNAcentral describes it as "HSALNT0380546". The record is from RNAcentral. Lineage: Eukaryota; Metazoa; Chordata; Mammalia; Primates; Hominidae.
GCCCCCAGGAAGAAAAUUGAAGAGUUCAAAGAAUUGAAAAGUUAAGCCAAUUCAUUUAAAAUAAUCUUUGACUUUCUCAUUAUCAAUAUAUGUGUAUUUUCUGCAAGGUUACAAAAACAACUGGAACAUAUGUUAAAAUAAUCUUCAGUGUCAUCUGCAGCAACUAAUUCUAGAGAACUAUCUUAUUCAAUUUCAUUUCUUACUUAUAUGGAACUAAACCUUAAUCUGCUUUUCAGGUAUGAAAUAUAUUCAUGAUUCUGUCUCAAAAUAUGAAAUCAAAAGUUAGCAUUAUAACUCCCAGCUAACUGUCAUAUUAAUUCAUCUGGAUGAACCUUGUGGUACUGAACUUUGACAAUGCUCAGGGUGUCAAAGCAAACACCUGCCCCACCCCACGCCUACCCCAAAAACAAACGAGAGGCUUUUAUAGGUUGCAAGUCCUGGUCUGGUUUAUUUAUAAAGCAAUAAAUAUUAGAAGCACAAACAAAUUGCACGUGUGUAAACAAACUGUACAAUGAUUGAUGAAAGAUGAGGGAAGGUGGUUUGGAAGACUCCAAGAAGCAUAAUACCGUCAUCCUGACUGGAAGGUAGAUGGAGAGAGAAGGCAUCUUAGAAGCAUUUGCGGUGGACAAUGGAUGGGCCUGCCUCAUCGUACUCUUGCUUGCUAAUCCACAUUUGCUGGAAGCCAGAGCAGUGAUUUCCUUCUGCAUACGAUCAGCAAUACCAGGGUACAUAGUGGUCCUUGCGGAUAUCAAUGUCACACUUCAUGAUGCUAUUGUAAGUUGUUUCAUGGAUGCCAGCAGAUUCCAUACCUGGGAACGAGUCACACACACACACACACACACACACACACACACACACACACACACAUCACAGUGCCAAUGAAGGAGGGCUGGAAGAGUGUCUCAGGACAGCGGAAGCGCUCAUUGCCAAUAGUGAUGACUUGGCCAUC